GAUGAACGCUGGCGGCGUGCCUAAUACAUGCGAGUCGAGCGAACGGACGAGAAGCUCGCUUCUCUGAUGUUAGCGGCGGACGGGUGAGUAACACGUGGAUAACCUACCUAUAAGACUGGGAUAACUUCGGGAAACCGGAGCUAAUACCGGAUAAUAUUUUGAACCGCAUGGUUCAAAAGUGAAAGACGGUCUUGCUGUCACUUAUAGAUGGAUCCGCGCUGCAUUAGCUAGUUGGUAAGGUAACGGCUUACCAAGGCAACGAUGCAUAGCCGACCUGAGAGGGUGAUCGGCCACACUGGAACUGAGACACGGUCCAGACUCCUACGGGAGGCAGCAGUAGGGAAUCUUCCGCAAUGGGCGAAAGCCUGACGGAGCAACGCCGCGUGAGUGAUGAAGGUCUUCGGAUCGUAAAACUCUGUUAUUAGGGAAGAACAUAUGUGUAAGUAACUGUGCACAUCUUGACGGUACCUAAUCAGAAAGCCACGGCUAACUACGUG
Molecule: ribosomal RNA, 497 nt
Filed under: uncultured bacterium
Lineage: Bacteria
Description: partial 16S ribosomal RNA
Rfam family: Bacterial small subunit ribosomal RNA
Source: RNAcentral